AGAAGCAAUAAUGUUAAUAUGAGUAACAAGAAAAUUUUCUCCCUGCAUGAGUGUAUAUCAGAACGAAUGAUGCACUGGUAGUUAACAAAUACAGACAUAACUAGCUAACUAAAAUCUUAAUACAACUGUUAGUCCAACACAGGCCUGCACCAGGAAGAUAAAAGAAGUAAAAGGAACUCGGC
Molecule: ribosomal RNA, 182 nt
Filed under: Myotis sodalis (Indiana bat)
Lineage: Eukaryota; Metazoa; Chordata; Mammalia; Chiroptera; Vespertilionidae
Description: partial 16S ribosomal RNA
Source: RNAcentral